Molecule: ribosomal RNA, 403 nt
Filed under: Fusobacteriota bacterium
Lineage: Bacteria; Fusobacteriati; Fusobacteriota
Description: Fusobacteria bacterium partial 16S ribosomal RNA
Rfam family: Bacterial small subunit ribosomal RNA
Source: RNAcentral
UGGGGAAUAUUGCACAAUGGGGGAAACCCUGAUGCAGCGACGCCGCGUGAGCGAAGAAGGUUUUCGAAUCGUAAAGCUCUGUCCUAUGGGAAGAUAAUGACGGUACCAUAGGAGGAAGCCCCGGCUAACUACGUGCCAGCAGCCGCGGUAAUACGUAGGGGGCAAGCGUUGUCCGGAAUCACUGGGCGUAAAGGGUUCGCAGGCGGAAAUGCAAGUCAGUUGUGAAAGGCAGAGGCUCAACCUCUGUAAGCAAUUGAAACUGUAUUUCUUGAGAUGUGGAGAGGCAAGUGGAGUUCCUAGUGUAGCGGUGAAAUGCGUAGAUAUUAGGAAGAAUACCGGUGGCGAAGGCGACUUGCUGGACACAAACUGACGCUGAGGAACGAAAGCGUGGGUAGCAAACAGG